Long non-coding RNA from Globicephala melas (long-finned pilot whale), 290 nucleotides. RefSeq lists it as uncharacterized. NCBI's taxonomy places the organism in Eukaryota, Metazoa, Chordata, Mammalia, Artiodactyla, Delphinidae. The record is from RefSeq and is a predicted model, not a curated record.
CUGCAGGGCAGCCGCGUCCUCAGCGCGGCUCUGGACCCGGGAUUAGAUGGUGCCCGCCGCCAGGGACGGUAGAGAGCCUGGGGCCUAGUUGGUAUUCCACUGCCUCUGCUCACAGAGGUCCAGGGGCAUUUCAGUCGAGGAGAUGGACUGCCUGAAGUCAGGGACCUGUCAGUCCCACAUCAGCCACAAAUUGGGUGGACGAUGUUGAGUAAGUCAUUUACGUCUCCCUGCCCCUCAGCUUCUUGCACCAUUGACAAGAGCUAGAAACACCUGAACUGCCAAACCUUUGG